GUUUAGCCCUGAUUGAAACGACAUCCUUUUUAAUUGCUUUUUAAAAAGCACUUUUUUUUUUUGACAAACAGAUUGCUUCAUCAAGCAAAAAGCUUGAUUCGCAAUGACGAAAUUAAAAAGAUAUAGUGGAAAGCAGGAAAUAGC
RNAcentral lists this small RNA (144 nucleotides) under Polaribacter vadi. RNAcentral describes it as "Flavo-1 RNA". It matches the Rfam family "Flavo-1 RNA". Lineage: Bacteria; Pseudomonadati; Bacteroidota; Flavobacteriia; Flavobacteriales; Flavobacteriaceae. The record is from Rfam by way of RNAcentral.